Non-coding RNA from Taeniopygia guttata (zebra finch), 756 nucleotides. NCBI's taxonomy places the organism in Eukaryota, Metazoa, Chordata, Aves, Passeriformes, Estrildidae. The record is from RefSeq and is a predicted model, not a curated record.
UUUUUCACAGAUAUGUUUGGAGUUGUAGUAGGUGACUCAGAACGAGAGGGUUUUGGUUUCUUCCCUGAAAUAAAUCACCAUGUCUGCAGACAGGAUUCAUGACUGAGAACGGGACACAAACGACAUCCAGUGUUUUGGCCAGUAAUGCCCUUGAUUUGAAAGAAGCUGAGCAGCUCAGUGCUCAGACCUUCGUAAGUACAAACAUCAUGCUGAACACGGCUUUGGAGUUGAGCAGAUGGGUGGAUACAGUUCUCCUGCUGCAGCAAUAAGGCCAAAAGGAAAGGAAGUGAAACCACCUCAUUGCUUCUGGUGAACAUUCUCUUGGAGGAACUCUACUUGGCAGUGCCAUUCUGGCCCAGUUAGCUGGCAAUGAUCUGCACUGUGAAUCUCUCUAAUUUUACCUAAUGGCUUGUAUAUAUCCUAGAAGUCUAUAAAAGAAGUCUAUAGAAUCUAUAAAAACCCUAUAAAUCAUGAGUGAUAUGGACAGGGCAAAAUGACCACCAUCCUUUGCCAUGCCUCAGAAUUGACCAAAAAGAAGGGAAACAGAGCGUACUUAAAAAAAAAUAAUAACCUACAAACAAAACCCCAAAAGAAUCCCACACACACACUGCACAUUAACUUAAAGUGCACAAAAAACUUAAUAGCAUUUUGCAGCAAUUCCUGUACAACAAUGCUUUACAAAUCUCCGGACAUUUUGAAGUAACACUUCUACAUCACUUAGGCCAUACCAUGUACUUUAGGAAGCCUUGAGUUCAC